AUGAGCCGCCGUUUUGUCCCCGUCGGCAGACGCAUCUUAGAGCAGAACAUCAAGGCUCGGUACCACGCCGGAGACAUUGGCACCCAGGACGCACUCCACCUGUUUGACGAAUUGCUCCAGGUUGUUGGGCGCUCCUCCAUCCAUGCCAUCAACUGCCUCCUCACCGUUGUCGGCCAUGAUUGCCCUGCGCUCGGCGUCUCCCUCUUCAACCGCGUCGCAAGGUCCAAGGUGGCGCCCUGCAGUAUCACCUAUGCCAUUCUGGUCGACUGCUGCUGCCGCGCUGGCCGCCAGGACCUUGGACACACUGCCAUGGGACACAUCAUCAAGAUGGGAUUUACUGCAGAUGCUAUGAUCACUUUCAGCCACCUACUAAAGGCCAUCUGUGCGGAGAAAAAGACCAGUUAUGCAAUGGACAUCGUACUCCGGAUAAUGCCUGAGUUUAACUGCAUACCAAACAUUUUCUCCUAUAACAUUCUUUUCAAGGGUCUCUGCAAUGAGAGGAGAAGCCAAGAGGCUCUUGAGCUGAUUAACAUUAUGGUUGAGGAUGAACGAGGUUGCUGCCGACCUGAUGUGGUGACCUAUAACACUGUAAUCGAUGGCUUGUUGAAAGAGGGUGAGGUAGGCAAGGCUUACAGCCUAUUUUGUGAAAUGCUAUGUCAGGGGGUAUUGCCGGAUGUUGUGACCUGUAGUUUGAUUAUCUCUGGCAUGUGCAAGCUUCAUGCAAUGGACAAGGCUGAGGAGGUUCUUCAACAGAUGCUUGAUAGAGGAAUUCUGCCAGAUGUUGCCACAUAUAAUAGUCUGAUACAUGGAUAUUAUUCAUUAGGACAGUGCGAAGAGGUGGAUCGGAUUUUCAAGGAGAUGACUACAAAUGGUGCUCAACCAGAUAUUGUAACUUACAAUAUACAGAUGGAUUAUCUUUGCAAGAAUGGAAGAUGCGCAGAAGCUAGGAAGAUUUUUUAUUCCAUGAUCAGUUUGGGCCAAAAACCUACUGUUACUACCUACAACAUUCUGCUUCAUGGGUAUGCUAUGGAAAGAUCUUUUCAUGAUAUGAAUUGUCUCAUUGAGUUGAUGGAUGACAAUGGUAUUUCACCAGAUCAUUAUGGCUACAACAUACUCAUAUCUGCAUAUGCUAAAGAAAAAAUGGUUGAUGAAGUAAUGCAUAUAUUUACAAAAAUGCGGCAGAAAGGAUUGAACCCUGAUGCAGUGAGCUACGGAACAGUAAUAGACUUACUUUCCAGGAUUGGUCGAAUGGAUGAUGCUAUGUCCCAGUUCGAUCAAAUGAUAACUGAAGGGUUAGCUCCUGAUAUCAUAGUUUUCAGCUCCCUUAUUAGUGGUUUCUGUUCUUGUGGCAAAUGGGAGAAGGUUCAUGAACUAUUUUCUGAGAUGUUGGAUCGCGGCAUCUGUCCUGACAGAGUGUUCUUCAACACUGUUAUGGAUCACCUUUGGAAAAAUGGAAGGGUUAUGGAAGCCCAACAUGUGUCCGACCUGAUGGUACACAUGGGUGUGAAGCCUUUUGUCCGUGAUUACAACACACUGAUACAUGGAUACUGUUUAGUUGGUAAGAUGGAUGAAGGGAGGAAGUUACUUGACAAUAUGUUCUCAAUUGGCUUGAAACCGGAUGAUUUCACCUAUAGCAUACUGAUUGAUGGUUACUCUAAGAAUGGCAGGAUAGAUGAUGCAUUGAUUAUUGUCAGGGAAAUGUUGGACGGGAAGGUUAAGCCUUCUAUUAUCACUUUUAAUAUUAUGAUUGGUGCGUUGCUUAAAGGUGGCAGAAAGGAAGAAGCCAAAGAUUUGUUUAAUGGUAUCUGGGCCAAAGGAUUAGUGCCUGACGUUGUUACAUAUAGCUUAAUGAUACAAAAACUAAUAGAAGAAGGUUCUCUACAAGAGUCUGAUGAUCUAUUCCUUUCUAUGGAGAAGAAUGGAUGUGCUGCUGACUCCCGGAUGCUAAAUGGUAUAGUCAGAAGCUUACUUCAGAAAGGGGAGAUGCCCAGGGCUGGGACUUAUCUGUCUAAAAUUGAUGAGAGGAGCUUCACCCUUGAAGCUUCCACGGCUAGCUUGUUGGCUGCAGUUGCGUCAGGGGGGAAAGGCCAGGAAUAUAAGGAGUUACUGCCUGAAAAAUAUCACUCUUUUCUGGAACAGGGCACUGAUUGA
This 2151-nucleotide ribosomal RNA is filed under the name Triticum aestivum (bread wheat). RNAcentral's name for it is "partial small subunit ribosomal RNA". Lineage: Eukaryota; Viridiplantae; Streptophyta; Magnoliopsida; Poales; Poaceae. The record is from RNAcentral.